RNAcentral lists this ribosomal RNA (433 nucleotides) under uncultured bacterium. RNAcentral describes it as "partial 16S ribosomal RNA". It matches the Rfam family "Bacterial small subunit ribosomal RNA", at positions 29 to 507 of the family's 1533-position model. The record is from RNAcentral.
AACGAACGCUGGCGGCAUGCCUAACACAUGCAAGUCGAACGAGACCUUCGGGUCUAGUGGCGCACGGGUGCGUAACGCGUGGGAACCUGCCCUUAGGUUCGGAAUAACUCCCCGAAAGGGGUGAUAAUACCGGAUAAUGUCUUCGGACCAAAGAUUUAUCGCCUUUGGAUGGGCCCGCGUUGGAUUAGCUAGUUGGUAGGGUAAAAGCCUACCAAGGCGACGAUCCAUAGCUGGUCUGAGAGGAUGAUCAGCCACACUGGGACUGAGACACGGCCCAGACUCCUACGGGAGGCAGCAGUGGGUAAUAUUGGACAAUGGGCGAAGGCCUGAUCCAGCAAUGCCGCGUGAGUGAUGUAGGCCUUAGGGUUGUAAAGCUCUUUUACCCGGGAUGAUAAUGACAGUACCGGGAGAAUAAGCGCCGGCUAACUCCGUG